GAGUGAACGCUGGCGGCAGGCCUAAUACAUGCAAGUCGAACGGCAGCACAGCAGAGCUUGCUCUGUGGGUGGCGAGUGGCGGACGGGUGAGGAAUACAUGGGAAUCUGCCCAGUCGUGGGGGAUAACGUAGGGAAACUUACGCUAAUACCGCAUGCGCCCUUCGGGGGAAAGCCGGGGACCGUAAGGCCUGGCGCGAUUGGAUGAGCCCAUGUCGGAUUAGCUAGUUGGCGGGGUAAAGCCCACCAAGGCGACGAUCCGUAGCUGGUCUGAGAGGAUGAUCAGCCACACUGGAACUGAGACACGGUCCAGACUCCUACGGGAGGCAGCAGUAGGGAAUAUUGGACAAUGGGCGCAAGCCUGAUCCAGCCAUGCCGCGUGAGUGAAGAAGGCCCUCGGGUUGUAAAGCUCUUUUGUCCGGAAAGAAAAGCGCCGGGUUAAUACCCUGGUGUCCUGACGGUACCGGAAGAAUAAGCACCGGCUAACUUCGUG
RNAcentral lists this ribosomal RNA (490 nucleotides) under uncultured bacterium. Its description in RNAcentral is "bacterial SSU rRNA". It matches the Rfam family "Bacterial small subunit ribosomal RNA", at positions 27 to 507 of the family's 1533-position model. The record is from RNAcentral.